GAUGAAGAACGUAGCGAAAUGCGAUAAGUAAUGUGAAUUGCAGAAUUCAGUGAAUCAUCGAAUCUUUGAACGCACCUUGAGCUCCUUGGUAUUCCGAGGAGCAUGCCUGUUUGAGUGUCAUUAAAUUCUCAACUACACUGACUUUGAAUUGGUGUGGCUUGGAUUUGGGGGGAAAAUUGUUGUGGGCUUUUUGUAUAGUCUGCUCCCCUGAAAUUGAUUAGCGGUACCUUUGUGGAACUGUCUACAGGUGUGAUAAUUAUCUACAUCUUAGACAUCUGCUGGAAUGCUGCUUUCUAAACCUUACUUGUAUUGACAAUCUUGACCUCAAAUCAGGUAGGACUACCCGCUGAACUUAAGCAUAUCAAUAAGCGGAGGA
This 376-nucleotide unclassified non-coding RNA is filed under the name soil metagenome. RNAcentral's name for it is "partial contains 5.8S ribosomal RNA, internal transcribed spacer 2, and large subunit ribosomal RNA". The stretch from base 1 to 120 matches the Rfam family "5.8S ribosomal RNA", at positions 35 to 154 of the family's 154-position model. The record is from RNAcentral.